This 252-nucleotide ribosomal RNA is filed under the name uncultured bacterium. RNAcentral describes it as "partial 16S ribosomal RNA". It matches the Rfam family "Bacterial small subunit ribosomal RNA", at positions 525 to 776 of the family's 1533-position model. The record is from RNAcentral.
ACGGAGGGUCCAAGCGUUGUCCGGAAUUACUGGGUGUAAAGGGUGCGUAGGCGGGCGUGUAAGUCAGGGGUGAAAUCCACCGGCCUAACCGGUGAACUGCCCUUGAUACUGCACGUCUUGAAUCUCGGAGAGGCUGUCGGAAUUCGUGGUGUAGCGGUGAAAUGCGUAAAUAUCACGAGGAACACCAGAUGCGUAGGCGGACAGCUGGACGAGUAUUGACGCUCAGGCACGAAAGCGUGGGGAGCGAACAGG